RNAcentral lists this long non-coding RNA (651 nucleotides) under Taeniopygia guttata (zebra finch). Its description in RNAcentral is "lncRNA (ENSTGUG00000018940.1)". The record is from RNAcentral. Lineage: Eukaryota; Metazoa; Chordata; Aves; Passeriformes; Estrildidae.
UGUUGGAGUGCCUCUGCUGACAGCUCCGACCCUCGCUUCAGGGCCCGGCCGUGUGCGAGGGGCCGGCCCGGGGCCCUUUGGGCUCUCGGCGGAGCUUUGGAAGCCUCGGGCCCGGCGGCGCCGCUCGGUUCGGUUUGGCUCGGUAAGAAGAAUCUACAUCAUGAACUGAAGACACAAUCUGGAGGAAAUGAUAGAGAUGGAGAAGGACCAGCUAUAAAUAUCAGAAGGUUCACACCAGAACAGUGAGGAAAAGGCAGAUGUGGUUGUAGAGCAUGUCCAGCAAGCUGCCUGAGAUGAAGAGCUCCUCUGAGGCUGCUCCUGAGCUGCUCCUGGGUCAGUUCACUCUGCCAGCCUCAUGUUCACUGCUGUGUGCAGAGGUUCAGGUGCUCUUUCCUCUCUGCUCCACGGAGAUCUCUUCCCAGCAGGAAGCCUGAGCAGGCCCAGGCUAUCAUCAGCUGAUUUAACACAGAUUCAGUUCAGAUCAACACUUAGCUUUCCAUUCAAUAAACACAGUCAUCCUGUGGGACUUGGCUCUUGCAGUGAAACCACAGAUCCAGAAGAGUGUGGGAGUCCAGCUCAGGGAACAGCAUCUUUUGGGACCAUUGAACAACAGGUAAGAAACAUGUCUGCUGUUCUGGAAAAUGAUUAUUG